This 433-nucleotide ribosomal RNA is filed under the name uncultured bacterium. RNAcentral's name for it is "partial 16S ribosomal RNA". It matches the Rfam family "Bacterial small subunit ribosomal RNA", at positions 29 to 507 of the family's 1533-position model. The record is from RNAcentral.
AACGAACGCUGGCGGCAUGCCUAACACAUGCAAGUCGAACGAGACCUUCGGGUCUAGUGGCGCACGGGUGCGUAACGCGUGGGAAUCUGCCCUUGGGUUCGGAAUAACAGUGAGAAAUUACUGCUAAUACCGGAUGAUGUCUUCGGACCAAAGAUUUAUCGCCCAGGGAUGAGCCCGCGUAGGAUUAGCUAGUUGGUGGGGUAAUGGCCUACCAAGGCGACGAUCCUUAGCUGGUCAGAGAGGAUGAUCCGCCACACUGGGACUGAGACACGGCCGAGACUCCUACGGGAUGCAGGAGAGGGGAAUAUAGGAAAAUGGGCGCAAGCAUGAACCAGCAAUGCCGCGUGAGGGAUGAAGGCCUUAGGGUAGUAAAGCUCUCUUAACCGGGAUGAUAAUGACAGUACCGGGAGAAUAAGCGCCGGCUAACUACGUG